UGGGGAAUAUUGCACAAUGGGCGAAAGCCUGAUGCAGCGACGCCGCGUGAGGGAUGACGGCCUUCGGGUUGUAAACCUCUUUCAGCAGGGAAGAAGCCACAAGUGACGGUACCUACAGAAGAAGCGCCGGCUAACUACGUGCCAGCAGCCGCGGUAAUACGUAGGGCGCAAGCGUUGUCCGGAAUUAUUGGGCGUAAAGAGCUCGUAGGCGGUUUGUUGCGUCUGCUGUGAAAGCCCGGGGCUUAACCCCGGGUGUGCAGUGGGUACGGGCAGACUAGAGUGCAGUAGGGGAGACUGGAAUUCCUGGUGUAGCGGUGGAAUGCGCAGAUAUCAGGAGGAACACCGAUGGCGAAGGCAGGUCUCUGGGCUGUUACUGACGCUGAGGAGCGAAAGCAUGGGGAGCGAACA
RNAcentral lists this ribosomal RNA (408 nucleotides) under uncultured bacterium. Its description in RNAcentral is "partial 16S ribosomal RNA". It matches the Rfam family "Bacterial small subunit ribosomal RNA", at positions 355 to 774 of the family's 1533-position model. The record is from RNAcentral.